Molecule: long non-coding RNA, 3503 nt
Filed under: Podarcis lilfordi (Lilford's wall lizard)
Lineage: Eukaryota; Metazoa; Chordata; Lepidosauria; Squamata; Lacertidae
Source: RNAcentral
GUCGCGACAGGACUCCCACCUGCAACAAGAUGAAGCAAAGUAGAAGUACAGAACAAAAGAAGACCCCAACUUUUAUUAGUUACUAAUCCUCCAAACUACACCCCUAGAACUACAUCACAACUACAUCAUGACUACAUCAUUGACACAUCACAAAAAGGAGGGGUUGAGGGAGGAGUUGUGGAGGUAACCUGAGUAUCUUGUCACCUGGCUGGUUCCUCCUCUCCCCCUCCCCAUGAGUUAUUUCCAGAGGACAACAGGGAGUUGCCAGUUUCCUGCCCCCAGAGGGAAGAUCUGAUCAUUGUCCUUUGUUCUAGUCCGUGUUGAAUCCACUCCCAUAUGUAAGUCCUUUGUGACCUUGAUGGUCUUCUGUCUAGGACCAUCAGGGUUGGCAUGGCAACUGGGCAGGGCUCCUGUGUAUGUGCUGGUAUGCUCAAGGGAUUAUGGCUGGCCUGUAUCAAACCUUCCCCAUUUUGUAGUCCUUCCUUCAUGGAGUAAAAUAAAAGUGGAAUGGUGCAGAUCCGAUGUAUGGUUGAUUUUCUAUGAAUUUAUAACAGAAGCGUAGCAUAUGUCGUGUGUGAGUGUGUGUGCGUCGAGUUUGUACAAACUGAAUGAUUUUUUUUUUGGGGGGGGGUCGUGUGACACAUGUGAGCAGUUUAAGGCUAAUAGGAGAUGUUGCAGCUCCACGAGCAAGGGCAUGUCAAAAUAUUCCCUGAAUUCAUGGUCCCUCCAUCUGCGUUGACUUUCCUCCAAAAGGAAUUUCAAGCAGCAUUUUGCUGAACCAGUAUAUGUUUUAGCUAAGGUAAGGUUGUCACCUUUGGUGGGGCCAAAAAAGGGACAGGUUGGGGGGGAUUUAGGAAGCUAAAAUUACUUCUACCCGGUGCAGAAAUGACUUCAAAGCAAUCCAUUAUGAUGAUCAAAUGGAAGCUCUCAAUAACUGCAAACAUUCCAACUAGAAAACUGAAAGGAAAUGCUCCCCACCUGCUGAAUUUCUGCCUGCCAGAAGGAUGGCUAAUAAUAAUAAUAAUAAUAAUAAUAAAUAAUUUUAUUUCUACCCCGCCCUCCCCAGCCAAGGCCGGGCUCAGGGCAGCUAACAAGCAAUAAUAAAAACAAGUUGAAUGAAUACAACUUAAAAACAAGAUUAAAAUACAUUAAAACAUUAAAAAGCAGCCUCAUCACAGGAGGAAAAAGGAAAAAGAAAGAGGGAAGGAGUCAAAUUGACUCCAAGCCAAAGGCCAGGUGGAACAACUCUGUCGGAAAGAAAUCAGAUCCUGCAGAGCCCUGGUCUCAUGAGACAGAGCGUUCCACCAGGCCGGAGCCAGGGUUGAAAAACCCUGGCUCUGGUUGAGGCUAAUCUAACUUCCUUAGGGCCCGGGACCUCUAGUGUGUUGCUAUUUAUGGACCGUAAGGUCCUACUGGGAGAGGCAGUCCCGUAGGUAUGAGGGUCCUAGGCCGUGAAGGGCUUUAAAGGUCAAAACCAGCACCUUAAAUCUGACCCUGUACUCCACCGGGAGCCAGUGCAGCUGGAAAAGCACUGGGUGAAUAUGCUCCCAUGGCAGAGACCCUGUGAGGAGCCCAGAAACCCAGCCAAAAAAAGAAAGGGGGAGAGAGAGUGCAACACAGUCUGCUUCUCUUACUCACAGAGCUUUGCCUCCAACAUCUCAAGAGGGUUCACAUAACCCCUCAUCCCCAUGAGAUCUCCAAUAUAUGAAGGUUAUGAUGCUUUGAUGCCCAGGGAUGGACAGAUUAUUAUUAUUAUUUAUUAAAUUUGUAUGCCGCCCUUCAUCUGGGCAAUUUCAACGACAGAACCCUGAACGUAAGAAAUCCUCCUUUGCAGCCUCCGCCCGAUCCAUUCUAGAGGUGGAAAUAAGCAAAGAGAAUCCUUAAACACCCAUGGGAGAGAGAGUGAGACUUAGAUUUGAAAUAUUUGAAGAUUUGAGAAGUGAGGUUACAGGGAAUCAGGCAGAGGGCCUUCUUGGUAGUGGCGCCUGCCCUGUGGAAUGCCAUCCCAGCAGAUGUCAAGUCAAUAAAAGGUAAAGGGACCCCUGACCAUUAGGUCCAGUCGUGGCUGACUCUGGGGUUGCGGCGCUCAUCUCGCUCUAUAGGCCGAGGGCGCCGGCAUACAGCUUCCGGGUCAUGUGGCCAGCCUGACUAAGCCGCUUCUGGCGAACCAGAGCAGCACACGGAAAUGCCAUUUACCUUCCCGCCAGAGUGGUACCUAUUUACCUACUAGAACUUUGACGUGCUUUCGAACUGCUAGGUUGGCAGGAGCAGGGACCAAGCAACGGGAGCUCACCCCGUCGUGGGGAUUCGAACCACCAACCUUGUGAUUGGCAAGUCCCAGGCUCUGUGGUUUAACCCACAGCGCCACCCUCGUCCCUGUCAAGGCAAUAAACAACUAUUUAAAAGACAACUGAAGGCGCUGUUUAGGGAAGUUUUCAAUGUCUGAUGCUGUAUUGUUUUUAAUAUUGGUUUGGAAGCCGCCCAGAGUGGCUGGGGAAACCCAGCCAGAUGGGAGGGAAUAAAUAAAUUAUUAUUAUUAUUAUUAUUAUUAUUAUUAUUAUUAUUAUUGAGGCUGCUGCACCAGGAAACAUUUCUCUUGUUCUCUUAGAGCAGGCAUGGCCAAGCAUGGUCCUCCAGAUGUUUUGGGACUACAAUUCCCAUCAUCCCUGACCACUGGUCUUGUUAGCUAGGGAUGGUGGGAGUUGUAGUCCCAAAACAGCUGGAUGGCCAAGUUUGGCCACGCCAUUGGCAAGAGCCUUUGGCAGGAGCUCCACCCAACCCAGAAGAGCCUGCUGGCUGGCGAGCUCCAUUGGCUAGCCUGGAACAUCAAUCAGCCAGCUUUGGAGGGCGGGCUAAACUUCGGAAGUGCUAGCAAGUUAGGCUGUGCAAGAUAAGCAAGCUUUUUAUUUUUAUUUUUUUUAAAGAAUAAUUUAAAUGGGACAGAAGCAUCCCAAAUGGAACAGGGGACUCUGUGCCCACAAAACAGAACAAAUCCGUAUUUUAAAAGACGGGUGGCAACCCUAGUUUUAGCCAUUCCUGGGAUGUCCAUAGUUUUCAUCUGCAUUUCCAAGUCAAUGAAAGCUGUGAUUCUGGUGUGGCAAUUCAACAGCCAUCCUGUAAUCCCAGCAUAUGCUAGGCUUUGAUAAUUUAUUCCAAUAGGACAUGAAACGAGACUAACAAUAUUCAUGAGAGAAAAGCAAAUACAGAGUGCUCUGUGAACAGGCCUUUAUAUAUAACAUUCGUUUUGUGCUGUAAAUUGCAUUAUCGGUGUGUAUUAAAUCUGUAACUCAUAGUAGCUAGGAAAUGAAUAUCAAAAUACGAAUUUAAAGGGGGGAGGGAGUUAUUAAGCCCCAAUGGUAAGUUUAAAAAUAAGGAAAUUUAAUCAUCUCUCUCUUUUCUGCUUAUUGGAUUACAGUAGAGAGUGAGCUGAGCAAAAGACAAUCAAGAUAGAUGGAAGGAACCGGCAUACAGUAACUUAAAAGAUUUUCGAUGAAUAAAACAGC